This 830-nucleotide ribosomal RNA is filed under the name Salmonella enterica. Its description in RNAcentral is "partial 23S ribosomal RNA". It matches the Rfam family "Bacterial large subunit ribosomal RNA", at positions 2113 to 2925 of the family's 2925-position model. Lineage: Bacteria; Pseudomonadati; Pseudomonadota; Gammaproteobacteria; Enterobacterales; Enterobacteriaceae. The record is from RNAcentral.
GACACUGAACAUUGAGCCUUGAUGUGUAGGAUAGGUGGGAGGCUUUGAAGCGUGGACGCCAGUCUGCAUGGAGCCGACCUUGAAAUACCACCCUUUAAUGUUUGAUGUUCUAACGUGGACCCGUGAUCCGGGUUGCGGACAGUGUCUGGUGGGUAGUUUGACUGGGGCGGUCUCCUCCUAAAGAGUAACGGAGGAGCACGAAGGUUGGCUAAUCCUGGUCGGACAUCAGGAGGUUAGUGCAAUGGCAUAAGCCAGCUUGACUGCGAGCGUGACGGCGCGAGCAGGUGCGAAAGCAGGUCAUAGUGAUCCGGUGGUUCUGAAUGGAAGGGCCAUCGCUCAACGGAUAAAAGGUACUCCGGGGAUAACAGGCUGAUACCGCCCAAGAGUUCAUAUCGACGGCGGUGUUUGGCACCUCGAUGUCGGCUCAUCACAUCCUGGGGCUGAAGUAGGUCCCAAGGGUAUGGCUGUUCGCCAUUUAAAGUGGUACGCGAGCUGGGUUUAGAACGUCGUGAGACAGUUCGGUCCCUAUCUGCCGUGGGCGCUGGAGAACUGAGGGGGGCUGCUCCUAGUACGAGAGGACCGGAGUGGACGCAUCACUGGUGUUCGGGUUGUCAUGCCAAUGGCACUGCCCGGUAGCUAAAUGCGGAAGAGAUAAGUGCUGAAAGCAUCUAAGCACGAAACUUGCCCCGAGAUGAGUUCUCCCUGAGACUUUAGGUCUCCUGAAGGAACGUUGAAGACGACGACGUUGAUAGGCCGGGUGUGUAAGCGCAGCGAUGCGUUGAGCUAACCGGUACUAAUGAACCGUGAGGCUUAACCUUACAACGCCGAAG